Molecule: ribosomal RNA, 474 nt
Filed under: uncultured bacterium
Lineage: Bacteria
Description: bacterial SSU rRNA
Rfam family: Bacterial small subunit ribosomal RNA
Source: RNAcentral
AGUCCAGACUCCUACGGGAGGCAGCAGUUAGGAAUAUUCGUCAAUGGGGGAAACCCUGAACGAGCAAUGCCGCGUGAACGAUGACGGUCCUCUGGAUUGUAAAGUUCUGUUGUUUGGGAAGAACGGCUCUAAUAGGAAAUGAUUAGAGAUUGACUGUACCAUUCAAGAAAGCCACGGCUAACUACGUGCCAGCAGCCGCGGUAAUACGUAGGUGGCGAGCGUUAUCCGGAUUCACUGGGCGUAAAGGGAGCGCAGGCGGCAUGGCAAGUCUGAUGUGAAAACCCGGGGCCCAACCCCGGGAGUGCAUUGGAAACUGCCAGGCUGGAGUGUCGGAGGGGUAAGCGGAAUUCCUAGUGUAGCGGUGAAAUGCGUAGAUAUUAGGAGGAACACCAGUGGCGAAGGCGGCUUACUGGACGACUACUGACGCUGAGGCUCGAAAGCGUGGGGAGCAAACAGGAUUAGAUACCCCCGUAG